Helianthus annuus (common sunflower) is the source of this 1289-nucleotide long non-coding RNA. RefSeq lists it as uncharacterized. Lineage: Eukaryota; Viridiplantae; Streptophyta; Magnoliopsida; Asterales; Asteraceae. The record is from RefSeq and is a predicted model, not a curated record. The transcript is spliced from 2 exons.
UUAAUCUCUCUCUCUUCUCUCUCUUUUCUCUUCUGAAUGGUGGAUGGAGGAGACGAUAAGGUGGAUGGUGAUGGUGGAGAUGGCUGUGGUUUGUGAUGGCGGAGACGGCUGUGGUUGGUGAUGCUGGAUUUGGUGGCGGUUUAGAGGUGGUGGAUGGUAAUGGUGGAGACGGAAUUGUUACCUGAAUCGAUUUUUGGUGGUGGGUUUUAGGGCGACGGUGAUGGGUGGUGGCUGUGGUUGGUGAUGCGGGAUUUGGUGGCGGUUUAGAGGUGGUGGAUGGUAAUGUUGGAGACGGAAUCGUUACCUGAAUCGAUUUUUGGUGGUGGGUUUUAGGGCGACGGUGAUGGGUGGUGGCUUUUACGCCGGAUUUGGUGGUGGGUUUUAGGGCGGCGGUGAUGGUGGUGAUCCGGAAUGUUUUUUGGCCUGAGCAAAUGAUGGUAACUGGACCGACAAUGGGUUUUUAGAAUCGUUACCAUAAUCGUUUUUUGAUUGGUGAGUUUUUUUUUUCUUUUUUUGGUUUUGAUGAUUUUUCUCGAAGAUGGUUCUCUUCAGAACCUCUUAUGUCUGCCCCACGCAGACCACGCACAGACGUUUAAGUCUGCAGUGUGUUUGUUUUCGUGAAGUGCUUUCGUUAAAAAAGGUCUUCAAAACCACUUCCUCAUACAGAUGUGGACCAGUGUCUUCAAGGGUCUUCUACCCUCUUCUUCUCUACUCUUUCAAAACAAAUCUAAUAACCCUAGCAUUCAGCCGACGACACAUCGAUCUCCACAUCCAUCCAGCUGACACAUCGAUCUCCACCUCCAUCGCCGUCGAAAACUCAUCUCCAUCGAUCUCCAUCUUCAUCUCCGUCGAAGCCCUCAACUCCAUCGAUCUCCAUCUUCAUCUCCGACGAAGCCCUCACCUCCAUCAAUCCCAUCUUCAUCUCUGACGAAACCCUCAUCUCCAUCGAUCUCCAUCUUCAUCUCCGACGAAGCCCUCAUCUCCACCUUCAGAGGCGGUGUAACCGAUCCGGUUAAAAAGUUGCGGUCACAUACCUGAUACAUAUAAUACCAGUAUGAGCAGAAGAAUGAGGGUGAAAACCAAAAAGGAGAAUGUUUUUAGAUAGGUUACACUUUACAUUGACACACUAAUGUUUGUACCUUCUAUACUUUCAAUAGUAGAAAUGGAUACCAAUUUACUUUUAGUAGUAGAAACGGAUACCAAUAUUAUGUUUCAGAUGGAAUACAUUGACUAUUCUAUUAUUUCUUGCAGUUUUUGGAUGUAUGUGAUCAUGUAACAUAUCUUGGAAA